RNAcentral lists this unclassified non-coding RNA (215 nucleotides) under Hevea brasiliensis (rubber tree). The record is from RNAcentral. Lineage: Eukaryota; Viridiplantae; Streptophyta; Magnoliopsida; Malpighiales; Euphorbiaceae.
GUUAAAGGAUGUACACGACCCUCAAAAUUCCUAUUCCCAGACAACACAGCUGCUGCCACUAAAUCAUUUUCAGUAAUAGCUGAUGCCACUGCAUCAUCAAUGUCACCCGAAUUGCCAAUGCAAGUGGUACAUCCAUAACCAACGAUGUGGAACCCUAAAUGAUUCAAAUACUUCUGCAUGCCACUCUUUUCCAAGUAUUUGGUCACAACCCCAGA